UACAGAGAGAAGCGAUNCGGCGACGCAGAGCGGAACUUCAAAGCCUGUCUCAGUUCGGAUUGGAGUCUGCAACCCGACUCCAUGAAGCUGGAUUCGCUAGUAAUCGCGCAUCAGCCACGGCGCGGUGAAUACGUUCCCGGGCCUUGUACACACCGCCCGUCAAGCCAUGGAAGCCGGGAGUGCCUGAAGUGUGCAACCGCAAGGAGCGCCCUAAGGUAAAACCGGCGACUGGGGCUAAGUCGUAACAAGGUAAC
Molecule: ribosomal RNA, 254 nt
Filed under: uncultured bacterium
Lineage: Bacteria
Description: partial 16S ribosomal RNA
Rfam family: Bacterial small subunit ribosomal RNA
Source: RNAcentral